UCCUCAGGUAGGAAAGAAAAAGAGGUAUUUGUAUUUCUUUCUUUUUUUAAAACAAGUGCCAUCUUUUUCUUUCCAAUACCGGAGAGGCAGCAGCAGGGGAGGAGGAAUAAGCAGGAUCGGGGCUCGCUGUUGAACCCCAGGAGGGAGAUCAGUGGUAGCGUGGCCAUUUUUCACGUCGGGAAGCCGAGGCCUGCCAAGGGGAGCGGACCGCGAGGACGGGAGAACCCGGCCGGGGUCUUGGAGUCAGCGCCGCCAGGGCUCCUCCAGCUUAGCGCCGCGAGAACAGCUCUGGCCUUUCGUGGUCCGCCUGGCAGGAAGGGCGGUUCUGAGGUGACUGGAGACGGACUCGGCGACUCAAAUCCCGCUGGUUCCCCCAACACAGUGUGGCUGCAAAAAAUACGCCUAUUCUUUCCCCAGCCGUGAAUCUGUCAGUUAUUACACACGCCAUCACUUACUUAUCUGGCUUUCCGUGAGCGAUUGUUACGCCUAGGGGUUUCGGAGUUCUCGAUCACCUGCUGUAUCAGUCCUGAAGUGUUAAAACUCCUAUAGCCCGAAGACUUGGCGGGCGGGCGCUCCUUUCCUAAACAGGGUAGCAACGCGCCCCGAGUGCGGGGAGGCGGGCCGUCUCUGGCCAGGGACUAGUGGCUUUGGGCACUCUGCAUUUGCAUUCUUUGUUUUCCCACACCUCCAGCUUUUAAACUGAGAGUCUUCUUUGCAAAGGGCUUUGUGCUAGAGGGGUUGAGAUCCCGCUGAAAUACAGUGGAUUUAUUUAUCUUCAGAAACAUUUGGCAACAUCACACGUUAAUCCUGUCCCUGAGAGACAGAACCUGCCAAGCACCCUAAUUCUAACCAAUGAAAUCUAUUUUAGAAAUGAAGGCAAUUAAAAAUAGGUUUCAGUGUAGUCCUUUGAAGUUUCCGAUAAGGUUUCAAAUAGUCCUCGCAGCAACCUGAUCCAUAGUUUUUAGUAUUAUUUCCAUCAUUUUUAUAAUUCCCAUUUCAGAGAUGAGCACAAUCGGAAAGAUGCGGAUUUGGCCCAGACAGUUUUGUUGAGAAUGGAUCAAGGGAAAGGGAAAGAAGGCGGAGUACGUACCUAGGAGGGGGAGGCAGCCAUCAAGCAGGGCUCAGGAUGGAGCCUGAGCUGGAAGCCCUGGUGGGCUCUGUGUGAAAUUUAUGUACGAGGUAACCGGAGGAGAAGCUGGUGGGAAGAAUAUAGUUUUUUGUUUUUUUUUAUUUCACGUCUAAAAAUGUUAUCAAUGCUGCCAAUCUCACCCCCACCUCAGGUCUGAAGAAUCUAUUAGCCAACAAAUGGCUGUUGAGCCUUUGAGGCAAAGUGCUAAAUGCUUGUAGGGGGUGUGAGAAAAACACACGAUUAUUGCAGGAGCCCUUUUCUCUGUUUUAGCUCUGGGCAGGGUCAGUUUCUGUGGCUUCUGCAGCCUCCCACCUUUCUUCUUCCUGAGCUAGCAGAGACUUGCCUUUAGGUUGCUGGUAUAUGCACAACCUUUCUUUGACACUAGGUUAAAUAAUACUUGGGGGAGGAUUUUGUGAAAUCAGAAUCCUGUACACAGGUGAAACAAACAGACAGUAUGAGGAACCUUUAAUUAUUAACCUGCUGUGGAUGAUUCUGAGGAAUUCAAAUUCCACACGAAUUCCAAGGAUUUAAUUUCAGCCAUGAGCUGUUUGGGGGACCAAAUUCUGGCCUAAAAGACACUUCCUUGUGGUAGACCUUAGAG
Fukomys damarensis (Damara mole-rat) is the source of this 1730-nucleotide long non-coding RNA. The record is from Ensembl. Lineage: Eukaryota; Metazoa; Chordata; Mammalia; Rodentia; Bathyergidae.